This 70-nucleotide small nuclear RNA is filed under the name Rhodnius prolixus. RNAcentral's name for it is "U4 spliceosomal RNA". It matches the Rfam family "U4 spliceosomal RNA", at positions 1 to 72 of the family's 138-position model. From Rfam's summary of the family: U4 small nuclear RNA (U4 snRNA) is a component of the major U2-dependent spliceosome. The structure of U4 snRNA from yeast and human has been reported. U4 snRNA presents a k-turn RNA motif in the 5p-SL related to recognition of Snu13 protein. The record is from Rfam by way of RNAcentral. Lineage: Eukaryota; Metazoa; Arthropoda; Insecta; Hemiptera; Reduviidae.
AACCGUGUAGUGACAAUAUCGUAACCAAUGAAGGGCUCCUGAGGUGCGAUUAUUGCUAGUGGAAAACUCG